Molecule: ribosomal RNA, 631 nt
Filed under: Microbacterium sp.
Lineage: Bacteria; Bacillati; Actinomycetota; Actinomycetes; Micrococcales; Microbacteriaceae
Description: bacterial SSU rRNA
Rfam family: Bacterial small subunit ribosomal RNA
Source: RNAcentral
GGUUGGGGAUGGGCUCGCGGCCUAUCAGCUUGUUGGUGAGGUAAUGGCUCACCAAGGCGUCGACGGGUAGCCGGCCUGAGAGGGUGACCGGCCACACUGGGACUGAGACACGGCCCAGACUCCUACGGGAGGCAGCAGUGGGGAAUAUUGCACAAUGGGCGCAAGCCUGAUGCAGCAACGCCGCGUGAGGGACGACGGCCUUCGGGUUGUAAACCUCUUUUAGCAGGGAAGAAGCGAAAGUGACGGUACCUGCAGAAAAAGCGCCGGCUAACUACGUGCCAGCAGCCGCGGUAAUACGUAGGGCGCAAGCGUUAUCCGGAAUUAUUGGGCGUAAAGAGCUCGUAGGCGGUUUGUCGCGUCUGCUGUGAAAUCCGGAGGCUCAACCUCCGGCCUGCAGUGGGUACGGGCAGACUAGAGUGCGGUAGGGGAGAUUGGAAUUCCUGGUGUAGCGGUGGAAUGCGCAGAUAUCAGGAGGAACACCGAUGGCGAAGGCAGAUCUCUGGGCCGUAACUGACGCUGAGGAGCGAAAGGGUGGGGAGCAAACAGGCUUAGAUACCCUGGUAGUCCACCCCGUAAACGUUGGGAACUAGUUGUGGGGUCCAUUCCACGGAUUCCGUGACGCAGCUAACGC